Molecule: long non-coding RNA, 957 nt
Filed under: Ailuropoda melanoleuca (giant panda)
Lineage: Eukaryota; Metazoa; Chordata; Mammalia; Carnivora; Ursidae
Description: lncRNA (ENSAMEG00000030643.1)
Source: RNAcentral
AACGUUUUCUGAAAUUUUAGCUAUAAAGCUUCUCAGAAUUUUAUUUUAUUAUUUUUUAAAAAUAUUUAUUUUAUUUUUUAGAGAGAGAGCAAGAUCAUGAGCAGUGGGGGAGCGGCAGAGGGAGAGAGAGAAUCCCAAGCAGACUCCACGCUUGAGUGCGGAGCCUGACACGGGGCCCGCUCUCACGACCACCUGAGCUGAAAUCAAGAGUCGGACACUUAACUGACGAAACCACCUGGGCGACCCAUAGAGCUGCUCAGAAUUUUAGAUCAUCUGUUCUACUCCAACCAAGGGAUGCUCGUGUAUGUAAAGCAUGAAGAGUGGGCAGUGAUGGCUCUGCCACCAGCAGGAGUAGGGGCCAGCAUCAACAGUGCCAUCCUGAGGAGUCUCCGGCAGCUACACGUCCCAUGGAGCUCGUCCUGUGGCCGGCUGGCUUUCCCAGAAGUCCACAUUCCAGCUUCCUCCCGCAGGCCCCGACCCCUACAGCAGGGGAGUGGGUACCGUGUGAAACUCUCUGAAACGCACCGGGGCACCUGGUCCCAUCUCCCACCGAAGGGGCCAGAGGCUAAUUGGCAGGAACGCCGCAUCCUGUAUCAGCCCCGCAGACGUGUGCUCUGGGCCCCGGAGCCGAGUGCUGCCGGGAAACGCGCACUCGUCUCCUCCGUAUCUGUUACAGGCCCCGCGGUUCACCGUCUGCUCGGAAAUUGGGGCACAUGUCUUUUGGCCAUUACCCAGAAGGCCAAAAGCUGCCAUCCUGGCAUCUCGUGGGCAAGAGGCAGGGAUUCCACGUGUGGGCCAUGGGACCAGCAACUCCGAACCAUCAGCGUUUCUUGGAUCGUCCGCAAUACCAUCUCGUGUUCUGCGGCUGCUCUUCAACUUUCUCGAGAUGUGUUUGCCUGGAGCAUGAGUUGGGAUUGCUUCUUGGGAGAACAAGUUGCCACACGUAUCAGAAUAUAA